Cyprinus carpio carpio is the source of this 2827-nucleotide long non-coding RNA. The record is from Ensembl. Lineage: Eukaryota; Metazoa; Chordata; Actinopteri; Cypriniformes; Cyprinidae.
UAUGGCCAAAUGUUUUGUUUAUUACAGACAGUAAGAGGAAAUUAACAUAACUCAGAUUCAUGCACUUUUAUUUGAUCAUUAAAUUGAUCAAAAGUGAGAGUAAAACAUUUAUAAUGUUUCAAAAGAUUUCUAUUUCAAAUAAAAGCUGUUCUUUUGAACUUUCUAUUCAUCUCUGAAUCCUGAAAAAUAAAAUGCAUCAGUUUCCUCAAAAAUAUUGAGCAGCACAACUGUGUUCAACAUUGAUAAUAAUCAGAAAUGUUUCUUGAGCAGCAGAUCAGCAUAUUAUUAUGAUUUCUGAAGAUCAUGUGACACUGAAGACUGGAGUAAUGAUGCUGAAAAUACAGCUGCGCAUCACAGAAAUAAAUUACACUUUAACAGAUACUCACAUAGAAAACAGCUGUUUUACAUCACAAUAAUAUUUCAUCCAUUUUUACUGUAUUUUGAUCAAAUAAGUGCAGCCUUGAUGAGCAGAAGAGACUUCUUUCAAAAAAAAAAAAAAAAAAAACUCUUACUAACCCCAACAUUUUCGAUGGCUAUGUACAGUUUGGAUUUAUUCCUUGGUUUUAUUAAUGUUUAAUUCUGUUAAAAAUAAAACAGCUGUGGCACAGAAAACCUGGGAAUAUCAGGCAUUUCAGUUUGAAAAAUGAUGGCAAUAUUUAGUAAGACUUUUUCUAUUAUUACUUGUAUGUAAAAACUGAAAGAGCCAGAAGAGGCUCUUGUGGAUUUGCGUGUUUGAAUUACAAAGCAAGAAAGUGGGAGAGAGCUGACGAAGGCAAGGGAAUGGUUCUGUCCAUCUGUGAAGCGCUCGUUUGACGACAGACUGUGAGUUUGUCCCGCUCCUGAGACAGAUGGUUGCUGGGGGACUCUGAUAACAGGACAGCAGGUCAACGCCGAGGCUGCGCUCCAACUCAACAUGUGUGUUUAUCUGUCAUGUCCAAAUGUCAUAUUCAAGUGCUGGAGGUUUAUUAGCCACAGAAUCUGGUGCGAAUCAUCGGCGUCAUCAGGAAAAUAUGAGCAGCAUCACGCUGACAAAUCUGCUGCUUUAUUCCCGCUUGUGAAAGUGCUUCUGAACAACUGAACAUCACUGGAAAGACUUCUCUGCUGCAUUCAGAGUCCUUAUUCAUCUGUUAAUAUUACUGCUGUUCAUACUCAUGUGUGAUCUCUGAUGGAUGUAGUGUUUCAGGUAACAAACUCAAGAAAGUGAAAGCCUCACAGUUUGUGUUGGUUUGUGAAGAUGAUUUAAUGGUUUAAUUAGGGCUUGUUGUUGCUGUUUUGGGGGUCAUCUGGGAUGAUACGUCGUCUGGGUCGGUUCAUCUCUAUGCCCUUAUGCAAAGAAAAUAUAUUUCCUAAUAAAGGAAUGAUCAUUAUAUUAAAGGACAUAAUGGUAUAUUAGAAAUUAUUGUACAUUUAUUACAAUAUAUUGAAUAAUACAAAAGAAAUUGCUGCUUUCAUAAAUUGAAGAAUAUGUGACAAUGUAUUCAUUUAGACAUCACAAAUGCCAGUAAAGAAGUUUUACUUUUGAUUGCUUGAUCAUGUUGAGCAUGAAUUCAGCUUGUCCUGUCUGUCUCCAGAUCCAGCGUUCACUAAUGGAGUGGAAGAAAAGCUUGAGCUCUGAAACAUGAAAAACAGACUCAGAAAUAAACAAGUGAUUCUCGGUGAAUCUUCUGAACGAUUCAGAUCAUGUCCAGAAAUAUGACCCUUCACCUAGUGAUAAUUAAAGCUUGUCGGUGGCCGCAGGAAGUGAUGCGAUGUCAUUCCCUGAUGUCAUCCGUCUCCCUGGCAACAAUGACAACUGCCAAUGUGACCCAUCAUGAGCGAGAAGAUGAAGAUGAGGUGUGAUAUCAGUCCUGAUGAGUCCUCGGAUCAUGUGUGCUGCUUAGAUCACCUAAAACAGCUGUAAAAUCACACUGAAGGAGGAACCGGAGCCAUCAUCAGACUCGAGGAAAACACCAUGAACAGCGGCGGCCACGAGAAAAAGAUUAACAAAGCUUUUAAGGUUUUUAAAUUGUCCAGUAACAAAUAUAUAACAAUUGACAGAGAGAACUUGAGCGGAGGCUUAAAAGUUGCUUGAUUUUUACCGUACAUUUCAACGUGAGAUAGUCACCACUGAUAAGCUACUAUAAUGUAGAACUUAAAUUUUCUGUAAAGCUGCUUUGCAAUGAUUUGCAUCUUGUAAAGAGCUUUACAAAUAAACUUGAAUUGUUAAUUAAUUGUAAAAGAGCCGACAACCUUAGCAGUCUAACAUCAGACAGGAAUUGUCCUGCACAAUGAAAAAAAGAGCUUUAGAAAUUGCUUGCAAAUUUCACAAAUAAUUACAAAAAAUUAAGUAACAUAAUGAAUUAAACAUGAACUUUCAAAAUAGAAAGAAUGAGAUUAUUCUUCCAUUCUCAGAUGAUCUUUGCUCUACUUAAAACCAGGUUCACAAUGCAAUGCAUGUCCUGCAUGUUAUGAACUGCUUCUCUAUGGCCACUGUAAAGCUUUGCUGUAAAGAUUGUGCAUUUAACAGACAUUUCAUCCAAACUGACUGCAUUCAAGGUUUAGAUGUUAUGACUUCAGCAUUCCCUGAGAAUCCAGCCCAUGACCUUGUGUUUGAGCUCGAGGAGUUUCAUGAAGCUGCUGUGAAGCACUUGCUCAAGUGUGGUUACAGUCACAUUAGUAUCACAUGUUUGACUAUCUUUCAGUGGAUUUAAUGAAUCAGAAAAAUUAUGCUUGAAGUUUUUCAAAUAUUUUAGACCUAUUAUGAGUUAUAUUAUGAAGCUUCAGGAUCCUCAUGAGCUCUGUCUGCUGCUCUUCACAUCCUAUUGAUUUCAGCAAGAGGACGUUCACA